CCGUGGGGUCGCGACCCUCUCUCAGGAUAGCAAUGCUCAUCAAGAUUGAAACGUGGCAGUUCUACUGGCAAACCAUAGGACUUCGACUUUCUCUUGAGAUGACAAUGCUUUAUCCAUAACUAGAUAGAUAAGUCCAUGCUGACUUAGCUGGUCUUCACAUCCUGCUUCCACUGCAGAAAAGGGCACGUAACCUAGCAAAUGAUUGUAAGACAAAUAACGGACUAAUGUAAGCUAAAUGACAAUAAAAGGCCCAGCCAGAAACCUGGCUGGAGGAGGCAAGCUUGUGAGGAAGCUUGUGCACCCCAUUCCUGUCUCUGCGUCUCCUUGCCGCGACAGCUGGUGACCCCGACGUGAUCCAGAAAAGGCCCGACGUGAUCCAGAAAAGGCCCGACGUGAUACAGAGAAGGUGGCUACGGCCCAGCUCACUUGACUGGAACAGUCUGCGCGCACAUCCUCUACAGGAUCCCAAACAUUUUCUUCAUUUUCCCUGCUGCUGUGGCCCUUGGUGUGAUAUUGACAGUUUCCAGAGACAGCGGAAAGGACCAGCAACCCCCGUCACUUGGGGAAGAGGUUGUGCAGCAGUGUCAACCCCAAUAGGCACAGUAUGGACAUCAGCCAAGUAUCUUAAACCUACACAUGGCAUCAAGGCCUUCAGAACCUAAUAUUUCAAUCCAAUCAACCAUUUCACAUGAUGCUAAACGAUGAACAACAUGAACUUAGAGAUGCCAUUCUAGACAAUGGAGCAGCCAUAGACUAUUUACUUUUACUAUGUGAAGAAAUCAAAAAUAUGUGCUGUAUUAACCCAUAAUUCUAUGUUAACUGUUGUACUUGGUUUAUUAUGUUUGACCAGUGGAGCCCCUUCAGACCAGUGGUAUCAAAGGGGAGAUCAAAAUGUUUGGGAAAAGAGAUUUUGUUUAUAUAUAUCCAUAUUUUGUUGCCACCUGGAUAGUCUUUUAAUUGUAACUGUCAAACUUAUAAUUCUAUACCUGCCAAUGUGUCUGAUGGUACCCAGUGCUGUCUGAGUAGGCUUGUUCCUGUUCUCCAACACCCUUCUAUCUUGGAUGUUUUCAGGUCUCAAAGAGCAGUGACACUCACCUCUGACUAUGACUCUACAAUAUACCUCCAUAGCCCAACUGAAUACUUUUGCUGUGUGAAGACGUCAAGAUAUGUGUUGCCUCAUAUUGUCAGAUAACUCUUGUUCCAUUAAUAAUUUGAUUGAAGAACUACAUGAUUUACCUGACUCAGGUCCACCAAAACCUUGGAUAUUCUGGAUUAUGAAGCUGAUUGAUUUACUAUUUGCCAGACCUUCAUUGGCUGAAACAACUUCUUGUAUAUGGCAUUGUCACUUUUGUAUUAUGAUCCUAUUUUGCUGUUUCAUCCAAUGUA
Molecule: long non-coding RNA, 1386 nt
Organism: Sceloporus undulatus (fence lizard)
Lineage: Eukaryota; Metazoa; Chordata; Lepidosauria; Squamata; Phrynosomatidae
Exons: 2
Source: RefSeq, a predicted model, not a curated record